GAGUUAUUCUGAUUGAGCCUUAUUUUCUAUCUCUGUAAGCUUGAAAGUGCAUUUCUCUCCUGCAUACAGUAGACCCCCCAUAUUGCAGGGGCUAUGUUUGAAAGCUCCCAGUGGGGUCACUUCAGGUGUUCCAUUUAUAGAAUUUGUGUUUACUCUUUUGCCAUAUUAGAGAUCCUGGUUUCCCGGGAGGGAAUACAUUUAUUUCAAGACCAGAUUGGUGUGGUGUAAUCAAAAUUGUAUAGGAGUUGGAGUUGGAAAUCUCUGCACUGUGUCCUAAUUGUGACCUUAUGCCUGCCAUUAUGAUCUGAUGCCUCCUUGCUGAGAGAAUUUGCCCAAGUAACACUUCAUCUUUCAAGUGGACACAGUGAUCGUGCCUUUCAUUUUUAUUGCUUUGCCUGUAAACUUAAUCAUAUUUGUUAACUUCUAUGUGCCUCAGUCUCAACAUCUGGGUGUUCGUGGAAACAAAAACUGCAUUAGAGGAGUUUUUCAUUAAUUAUUGGAUCUCAUUAUAUUAGCAUAUGUGAUACAUAGUGUUUUCAUAAUUGAAUCUACAAUACAGAGUAUUUAGGCAUUUUAAUAUAAGUAUGGCUUUCACAUUUGCAUGUGUUCUUCAGGGAAACAAAAGCACAUCCAUUAUUUAGACCUAUUCUUCAUAUUUCAUUAAGUAGAAUUGAACAUGCUUAUAAUUCUGGAGUCGUAUUUUAUUUUUUAGAACUUAAUUUCCAGAAAGGGACGAUUUAUAGAUCUAAAUAAGAAAGGAUAUUUCUGAUGGACGGCCACAAUCAUGCUUGGAAAAACUGGGAUGUGAGUGAAAAGUAAAGUAGAAAUCACUGGCCCUGAUCUAAAACCCAGUCUCAUUAGGUUAAGAAAAUAUAUCCAUUUUGAAAGCUGAAAUUACCUUCUUUCUACAACUUUUUCAAGUUUUGGAGAAAUAAGUAAGUUUCAUCAUACGUUUUCUUACUCAUGCAGAAUGUAACUAAGACUGGUUUUUUGGCGAGGGGAGGGGGGGUGUUGUUGUUGUUUUACGUAGUAGCCCACCUAAAUUCCAUUUCAUACUUUUGCCAGAUAAUUCUCAGCUCAAGCCAGGCUUGGACUGGAGGGAUCUCUUCAGCUUUGCACUCCAGGGAGAUAAAAGAGCAUAAUUUUGAAUGCACAGCAGUUCAUCUCAAGAUCUAUUCAACUGUACGAAAACCAUAUAACCUCAGAUAUAUUCCCCAAUCUUCUACACCCUUAUCUGUGCCCUUUUAUGGACCACAUCAAUGGGCUGCCUUGCCCUUUGGCUUCUGGUAGGAUUUAGCCAAUAAAAGGUAUGAAGAGGAAAUUAGAGGAGAAAGG
Molecule: long non-coding RNA, 1335 nt
Filed under: Vulpes vulpes (red fox)
Lineage: Eukaryota; Metazoa; Chordata; Mammalia; Carnivora; Canidae
Description: lncRNA (ENSVVUG00000030025.1)
Source: RNAcentral